AAGCGUUUAGAGCCUCCAGCAGUAAGUACAGCCUGGGAGCCUUUUUACAAAUUGGGAAGAAGCAGCUUCUGUGCUGUGUCCUUGGCCAGGGGUCCUGCCAGAAUGCCCUGCACAGCUAUAGGCAGGAGUCCCCUCUGGAACCACCCAUUGAAAGAAUAUGGGUGCAAACCCCAUGUGUGUUGGGGUGGGGAAGGGAAGGACAAGGAUCAGAGAAUAGAAGUGACAGUCUGCACCAGGGGGGUUGGGGCAAGAAAAGAGAAAAGGGCCUCAGACCCUGGUCAGCUCCUAGGAAGAGAUCAGGAGGGCUAAUUGUCACAAAACCCAGGGAGGAUGACUUUCAUGGAGGGGCAGUCCACAGGGUCCGAUGAACAAAGUGAUGAAGGACAUGGAUGAUGACAUGGAUGAUGAGGGCAGGCAGACACUUGCAGCAGAAGGAUAGAGCCGGGAGGAGGGUGGCAGAGGACUGAGGAGGACGAGGCAGUGAGUGCCCACAUAGGGUCGGAGUUUGCACUGCACUUUCAAGAAGUGUGUCAAGAAGGAAAGGAGAAAACAGGAGGACAUCUCAUUGUAGUGGCGGAGAGGGGAUGGCGGUUUCCUUAAGCUAGGAUGGGACCAUGUAGUCAGGCAGGUGGCAGUUACCUCAGCAAUGAUGACAGUGUAGUUGCUGCUAUGCUGGACGGAGUCCAGAGAACUAGGGACACCGGUAGCAGUAAUCACUAUCUAGCCCAAGAAUCUUGGGGAAGUGACAUUGAAGCUGAAUCUUGAAAAGUGAUAGUACUAGUAGGUGGCAGAGCUGGGAUUUGACACGUGGAACCUCUACAUGUUCCUGCCUCUCCUCCAAUCUCAAGAAUAGGCCUGACGCUGGGGUGCCUGUGGCAAGCUGUGUGAUCCACCCACAAUGCAUAAAAGGAUGUGUGAAUAAUUUUGAGAUCCCACUGAAGGUCACACAGUGUGGCUUUAUGAUGAGACAACCACAUAAGAAAUACUCUGUAUCCUAAGGGAGGGAGGGGAAAUGGUGGGCUUCCCUGAGGUGAGAGAGCAAGAGUCUGAACUUCAAACACUGUUGAAGUGGCUCACACUGGGGCAGGCAGGUGAGGAAAUGAAGGAAAUUAAAAGAUCUCAGUUGAAAAGGAGGAGUACUAGCACUCAUGGGGGCUCAUGUGACUUUUGUCAGCCAGGGGUAGUUGUGCAUGCAUCUAGUUCUAGCUACUUGGGAGGCUGAGACAGGAGGAUCUCUUGAGCUAGAAGUUCAAGGCCAGACUGGGCAACAUAGCAGAUCAUCUCCAAACAAACAAAUGAACAAACAAAGCAGCUGUGGAAUAUUAAGGAGGGAUUAUCAGAGGAAUUUGGGGUCAGAACCGUCAUUCAAGAGGGGGCUGAGCUGGGGACGGUUGUGCAGACCUGUAAUCCCAGUGGCCUGGGAGGCUGAGGCUGGAGGAUUCAAAGCUAACCUCAGCAAAAGUGAGGAGCUAAGUAACUCAGUAAAACUGUCUCUAAAUAAACUACAAAAUAGGGUUGGGGAUGUGACUCAAUGGUCGAGUGCCUCUGAGUUCAAUCUCCAGACCCCCCAAAAAAGAGGGGGCUAAAGGCCCUGAAAACCAUGGAGUUAAGGAUCUUAAAGAAAAGAGAGGAUGGGAAAAGCAUAGACUUUGGAGUCAGACAAAGUUUGAAGCCUAGUUUGUUUACUUGUUGAGUGACCUUGAUCAAGUUGGGUACCAAGUUAGUGAGUCUUGUCUGUUUUGCAGGGCACAUGAUAGGGCCCAGGUACAGCAGGUGCUUUUCAAGGGUACUCCUCUGCCCACUUCUUCUGGAAGAAUCACCAACCUGGAGGUUGAAGUCCUUUAAUUUGUUUCCAUUCCUUGGUGAGCUGGGAAUACAAAGACAAAUAAAAAUAGACAAUAAUAGCUGGACCCAGUUGUACAUGCUUGUAAUUUCAGGUACUGAGGAGGCUGAGGCAGGAGGAUAUCAAGUUUGAUGCCAGCUUUAGUCACUUAGUAAGACCCCAUCUCAAAAUUUUAAAAAGUAAAUAACUUUUUUGAGAUCCCAUUGAAGGUCACACAGUGUGGCUUUAUGAUGAGACAACCUGGUCUGAUUCUGGUGGCUGAGGCAAGAGGAUUGCAAGUUCAAGUCCUGCCUUGACAACUUAGUGACACCUGUUGCAAAAUUAAUGAGUGGUGCAUGUCUGUAAUUCCAGGGGUUUGGGAGGUUGAGAAAGAAGGAUCACAAGUUCAAUGUCAGCCUCAGCGAUUUAGUGAGACCCUAUCUCAAAAUAAAAAAAUGAAAAGCACUGGGGGUGUAGCUCAGUGGUAGGUACCCCUGAGUUCAAUCCCCAAUGCCAGGGAAUGGGAGAGACAAUAAUAAAGGAGAUUAUUAGUGGGGAAAGAUAAUUGCAUAAACAAAAUACAGUAUGAUUGGUUCUAUGAAAAGAUGCAACAUACUGUCAGAGGAUAGAGUAACUCUUUUAAUUUACUAUUUGUAGGGCACCUGCUAUAUGCCAGGUAUAUUCUAGACUCUGGGGAUACAGCAAAGAAUAACCAGGAUGGAGUUGCUGCUCUUAUGAAGUUUUCAUUCCAGGUGCUGAAGAAUGGGGGUCACGGAGGUGAACUCAUGGAGGAGGAAUGCUUGUGCAGGGCUUAAAAUAAAUGAUAGCACUAGGCAUGGUGGCACAUUCCUGUAAUCCCAGUGGCUCCGGAGGCUGAGACUGGAGGAUCACAGGUUCAAGGUCAGCUUUAGUAAUUUAGUGAGGCCUUAAGCAACUGAGCAAGAACCUUUAUCAAAAUAAAACAUAAAAAGGGCUGGGGAUAUUGUUAGGUGGUUAAGUGUUGGGUUCAAUCCUGGGUACAAAAAAAAAAAAGUAGGAACUUUCUGGAGAGACACAGGGAUUAAGAGGAAUACUUUCCAGAUAGAAUGACCACUGGCACUGUGACAUGGUAUAGCACCCAACAGCAUACGAACUCUUCUGUUUCAGAUCUGUAUGUCUUACUGGUCACUAGAUUUUAUUAUCCCUAAUCUUAUUCAUAUAACUCUUUAACCUAUGAUCUUCCCACAUCUGUUAUUAUUUUUUGCUUUAAAAAUUUUUAGAUUUAUUGACGUGUAAUUUGCAUGCAGAUCAUUCACUCUUUUUAGGUAUACAGUUCAGUGGGAUUUGACAAAUGAAUUCAGUUGUGGAACUGCUACUAUGAUCAAAACACAGUUCAUUUCAUCACCUUGAUGUGUUUUGACACGUUCCUUCAGAGUCAGUCUCUCACCCCCUGCCUUCAGCUCUGGCCAUUCCUGAUCUGUUCGCUGUUCCUGUAGUUUUUCCUUUUCCAUAUUAUCUUAUAAUUUGAAUCAUUUGGUGUGUAGCUUUUUUUUUCUCUGACUCCCUUAGCUUAGCAUAAUGUUUUGGGGAUUCAACCUAUGUUGUUGCAGGUAUCACUAGUCACCCCCCACCCCUUUAAAAAUUGUCCUCUAUUGUCCAUUUUAGGAAGUUAUUCUAGUUUAUUCAUUUACCACUAGAUGGAUAAUUGUGUUCUUCUAAAUUUGUAGUUGUCAUGAAUAAAGCUGCUUGUCUUUGUGUGAAUAUAUGUUCUCAUUUGGAUAAAAAGCCCAGGAAUAGUUUGCUGGGUUGCACAAUAAGGGUAUGUUUACAAGAAACUGCCAAACUAUUUUUUUUUUCUUUCUUUCUUUUCUCUUUUGGUACUUGGUAUUAAACCCAGAGGCACUUUACCACUGAGCCAUAACCCUGGACCUUUUAUUUUUUUAUUUUGAAACAGAGUCUCACUAAAUUGUUGAGGCUGGCCUAGAAUUUGUGAUCCUCCUGCCUCAGUCUCCUGAGUCUGGGAUUACAGGUGUGGGCCAGGAUCACCCAGGUAUUAUUUCUUCUUCUCCUUCUCCUUCUCCUCCUCCUCCUCCCCCUCCUCCUCCUCCUCCUCCUCCUCCUCCUUCUUCCUAGGGAUUUAACCACUGAGCCAUAAUCCCCAGCCUUUUUUCUUUUAUUUUUUAUUUUAAGACAGGGUCUUGCCAAGCUACUUAAGGCCUCCCUAAAUGACUGAGGCUGACCUCAAAUUUGAGAUCUUCCUGCUUCAGCUUCCCAAACUGCUGGGAUUACAGGUGUGCACCACCACACCUGGCAUACUACAGCCUUUUCAAUGAAUUUAUCCUUGUAUCUCAGUUCAAAUAUUGCUUCCUCAGGAAGUUUAUCUAAUGCCUUCAAGUUAAUGUACUCUCAUAGGAUCAUGUUUCAUUAAAAGUUAUUUAUAUGGGCUGGGGAUGUGGCUCAAGCGGUAGCACGCCCGCCUGGCAUGUGUGCCGCCCAGGUUCGAUCCUCAGCACCUUAGGGGGAUCAGAGCUGCUUUGGGACCCUAACCAGGUCCCAGAUUUUUGACCCAACUUACUGAGGCCAUCACCAAAUAUACAAAUUUAAUGUCAGCAGCCCUAAUGGCAGGCUUCUUCCACACUUUAUCUGUGGAUCUGCACCUGACAACCACAAGAAACUCAGACGAUUAAAGAAGGGUCUUGAGUCUCCUCAACAGUUACUUUUAGAUAAGGUUUUCUUCAACUGGGAGGAUAAAACCAAAAAGAAAAGAAGAAGACAACUUAAAAUUAAAUACCAGCUCUUGGCCUCUACAAUUCAGGGCCAAAAACCAGGACCCUGUCUUCGAUGUAGACAGCAUGGACACUGGGCAAGAGCCUGCCCUAACCUGAGGCUUCCCACCGAGCCCUGACCCAAGUGUGAGCAAUGGAGAUACUGAAAGGUUGACUGUCCUCAAGGAAAACACCCCUCCUCUCAUGUGCAGCCAGUUUCUUAGGUCCCCUAAUACAUCAAAGAGCCUCAAAUUACAGAAAUAAUAAAUAGUCAAACAGCAGAUAAAUAUUCUACUUCUAAAGAGAUUUUAAAGACACAAGAAGCCAACAGGCCCAAAAGUAUUCAACUCCUCCCAGCCUACAACACAAAAGAAGGACUUCAAAACUCUCCCUCUCUCUCUCUCUUUGUCAUCCUUUCAUGCUGCUAAACUGAAACAAUUAACAGAAAAAUUCUCUCAUGUUGCUGAACUGAAAUUAUUAAUAGCUAUAUCAUUUUUUCCUGGGAUUCUUAUUUUUACAAUUCUAUAUUUUGAGUUCAUAAUUUUCAUCCUAUGCACCUAAAUUAUAAUUUCUGAUCAGACCUGUUUUAUAGAGGCCAAUUUACAAAAAUUGACUCUUAAUCUAAUAAAUUUCAAAAGUUGUAAGGCCUUUACUUGUUGUUCUAUGCUGACUUGUCCAUGUGUGUCAGAACCAACAUAUAGAGAGCUCAUAAACUAAAAUUAAAAAAUGGAUCCAAAUACCUUUGAUUUAUAUGAUUUAAAGGUUCAAUGUAAGUUGGGUAGACAAACAAAAGUAAAGAUAUCUUUAAAAUUACUUAACCCAAGUCUCUCUAGGUGGUCAACAACUAAUGAAAUGUUAACAUCUAUAAAAUGUCUAAUAUCUAUUGUUUCUAAGACUUCUCUUCAACAAGGGAAAAAUGACUUAUACUAUUUAAUACACUUGUCUGAUAUCUUUUUUUUUUUUACAGUAAGUAAGUAAAUUAAGCUUAACAUGUAAGAGAUUUGACAUGUAUGGAAGUACUUAUAAAUGUGUUUGUUAGAGACAUCUGAUUAAUCUACAAAGUUAAUAUGCUAACUAUUAAAUAUAACAUCAAGUACUCUUAGCUCCUUAAAGUCCAUACAGUAACAUUAUUGGUGUUUUCAUAGAUUGGUAAAUGAAAAAGGGGAUUAAAAAAUGCUCUGUGUCAUUACUUAAAAUAAGAUUACUAAAAAUUUAAAGUGCCAAACAGGUGUAAUUCUAUAUACUUGAACAUUGUGUUUUCAUGAAAUGGUAAACAGAUGUAAUUCUAUAUACAAAGGUUUAUAGAAGAUUUCUAUAUACAAAGGCCCAAAAGCUUUCAAGUGUGUUUCAAUUAGACUAUUAUAAAUAACAAAAUAUUCCUUCUCAUUAAAAUGAAGUAAUUUAUCUAGAUUCAGAAAUUUAUAAGAAUUGUUUCAAAAUGUAAACAUAAAAGGGGGUUAAUAGAAAAGAGAAAUUAGAAUUUCUAGGUACGAAAACUAAAACAAGAGAGUUUAAUUGAGAAAGAACGUCUAUGUAAAGAAUUGGCAAAUUUCAAGAAGCUUAAUUAUUUUUUUGUGUGGAAUAAUCAGUCAAAGAUAAUCAAAGUUUUUCUCUAAGGUAAAAAUGUUAAUGUAAUGAUGUAAAACAGAGUUUAAUCCAAGUGUUAAAGUAACAAGAAUUUCUUGAAACAUUAAUUUUACUCUUAACAUUGUGGCUAUUAAGUUUUUUCUUUUCUUUUUUUUUGAAACCGGGGAUUGAAUUUAGGGGCACUUGACCACUGAGCCACAUCCCCAGCCCAAUUUUAUAUUUUAUUUAGAGACAGAGUCUCACUGAGUUGCUUAGCCUAUUGCUGAGACUGGCUUUGAACUCACGAUUCUACUGUCUCAGCCUCCCAAGCCGCUGGGAUUACAGGUGAGCGCCACUGCACCUGGCUGCUAUUAACGUUUAUUCUGUAGAACAACUAAUCUUAGAAAGAUUAAAGUUUAUAGGACUGUGGUUAAACAACAGCUGUUAUUUUGGAGUAUUAUACUAUGUUACAAAGUCUAGGUUUUUCUUUAAGAGCUAAACUUGAUUAAUAUAAUGACAUCAAUAUGAUUAUGGUACUAAUAUAUUAAAUUUAUUCAUUUCUUCCAGGUAUACAAGUCUUUAAGGUAAAAAGGUUAAAAACAAAAACAAAAGCAUUUUAUUGAACUGGUAUUCUCCAAACUAAGGUUAUCUGAUAGACUUAUAAGGAUAACAAUUUUAUUGAAGAUUUAUUUAUGUCAUUUAAUGUUUUAUGACUAGAUCUGUUAUCAAUAAGAUUUAUAAAGUUUGGUGUUACCUUUUACAUUGGAAUAAAAUUUAAAUGUAUUUUUAAGUUAACGAGAGGCUAAUCUGUUUAAAGGUUAAUACUGUAAAACACAGAAACAUUUUGCUACUUUUCCACAAAAAAGGUUAAAACUCUCUCAACCUUUCUUUAAUUCAUGUUUUAAAUGUAAUGUCAUAUUGUUAGCUGACAUUCAUGUGGACUCAGGAAACAAUAUAUGUAAACUUUAUAAAAUGAUAUUUAAGGAAGAGACAAAAAUCACCUUCACAACUAAAACACUUUACCUAAAAUUCAUCAAGAGCCUCAUCCUAAGAUAAGGCCCUGCCUCCCAUCUUACUACAUGUUAAAUGGCUCAAAAACAGGUCAAACUUCAACUCAUUUAAAUUUAUGUCCAAAAGAGUAAUGUUUAUUGUAAAGAUUACUGUAAUUUGAAUUAGUUAUGAUAUAUAAGGCAGCCAAAAUUAAACAUAGCUGUUACAUAAACUAGACAUUUUUACUCUUGUUAAUUUCAUUUUGUAUUUUCUUUGUAAACUUUAUGGCUAUUGCUUAUUAAUGUUUUACAGACUGUGGGCCCUUAAGAAGCCCCUACAAAUCUCUCCAUUCAAACUUAUAUAUGGGCAUCCAAUGAUGCCACCCACUAUACGAUCCCAGGCCCCAACUAUUCCACCAUACCUUUUAACCCCACAAUCAAAGUCUACCAUUCCAUCAGCUUUGGGACGGUUCCUCACAAUGGCAACCCCACACUUUGUAGAGACCCUCCUAAAUUGUGCACUAGAUAAAUGGAUGACUUUAACAGUCAUAUUAUUCAAUGUCAGAGACUGUUGCUUAACCACCCUCCAUUCACCUUUGUCCCCCCAAGGGCCCUUAACCCCACCUCCCAGAUGCUAGAAGAUGAUCCCUAUGAGCCCCUCCACCGACUGUGAGGAUAUACUUGACCAGGUGAGCUCAGGAAGGCCUGACUUGACCGAUGUUCCUUUGGCUGAGGCUGAAGCCAUCCUGUUCACAGAUGGCAGCAGCCAAGUCAUAGAUGGGGCUCAGAAGGCUGGAGCCAUGGUCACAAUGGAAACAGAAAUCAUUUGGGCUCAAAUACUCCCCAAAGGAACUUCAACCUGGACACAGCAGGGGAAGCUUAUUGGCCUUAUACAGGCUUGAAGGUGCGGAAGGUAAGAAAGUAAACAUUUACACAGACAAUAGAUAUGCACAUAUGAAUGGAGCCACCUACAGGGAGGGAGGUUGCUAACUGCUGAGGAAAAGCCCAUAAAAAUAAUAGCACACACCAGACUAGGAAAGCCAUUAACUUACCAAACUCAAACAAAAGCUCUCUGGCGACUCUUCCUCUUCCUCUCUCACCAGCCUGUGGAACCCUAUCCUUACUUGGGUCUUACCCCUCCUGGGACCCCUCACUGCCAUUUUUUUGCCUGGUUUUUGUUACCAUGUGUUUUUAAGUAUUAACCAUUAUGGAAACCAUCAUGGCAAGGAUCAAACCUUCACCAACCGAAGAGUCAAUCAGAUGCUCCUGGGAAGACAUGUUCCCGCCAGAAGAAACGCCCUUCUAGGACCUGCUUCUGCCCCUGUCUUCACCCCCAUUCAGCAGGAAGCAGCUACAAGAAGAGUGACCUUCGCUCACCAGCUCCCCGCCCCCCUCCUGCCUCAGAGCCUCUUAUCCAAACCAAAAGGGAGGAAUGUUAACAUCCUCAGAAUCUGAGGUGAUGCCUGGCUUCUUGCUUUGGAGAUGGAGUGAUGUUGCCCAGACAGGGAGUGUGAGAGAAUGUGAGGCCUGGAGGGUAGCAUUAGAUGAUGACUUCAGUUUGGAGCCUGUAUUGGUUUAGAUGUGGCAUCCCCCAAAAGCUCACGUGUGAGACAAUGCAAGAAGGUUUGGAGGAGAAAUGAUUGGGUCAUAGCCUUAACCUAAUCAGUGAAUUAAUCCCUGAUGGGACUGACUGAGUGGUAACUGGAAUGAAGAUGAAAGGAAGGAAGGAAGGGAAAGGAAAGAAAAGAAAAAAAAAAUGGGUCUGUGGCGUCCAUGAGAGUUGGAUUUUGACCUGGGAGCCAUCAUCCCUAAGAGUGGAUGGGAUUGCCUAGAAGGGGAGGUGGAGACAGAUUCCAAUAUUCAAGCUGAGACUCCUAAUCUGGGCCUUGUGAGUGGAUUUCCCUGAGUCCAUGUGCCCCUUGAAUUGUACAGGAGAAGCUAGGCAGUAUGGGGUUGUCUUUAAGAGUCUCAAAGGGAUAUAUGACCCACCAAAAUUAAGGACUAUGGAUAUAAGCACCAGGUAUGUAUAAAAAGAUUCAAUGAAGAAGAGUGAUUAGGAAGGGGUGACCAGAGAAAUGGUGAGAAACUCAGGAGAUGUCAGGAGACUAAGGUUGGGUAACUUAGCUAGACCCUGACUCAAAAUUAGGACUGGGGAUAUAGCUUGGGAGUAGAGUGACCCUGGGUUCAAUCCCUAGUACCACCACCAACAAGGUUUUCCUGAGUUGCUUAGGGCCUUGCCUUUACUGAGGCUGGCUUUGAACUCUUGAUCUUCCUGCCUGAGCCUCCCAAGCCGCUGGAAUUAUAGGUGUGCGCCAAUGAACCCAGCUACCCUUCCUUCGUUUUAAGGAAGAAGUGUUUUGAACAUGGAUGUAAGUAGAAGAGAAAAAUCCUGCCUGGAUAUGGGUGGGAGGAGCACAAUAAGAGAGAGAAGACAUUGACAGGCAGGCUCUCAGAAGCGGGAUUCAGCACAGGUGGAGGGCCUGUGCCUGGGCAGAGGGAGCGCCACCUCCACCCCAAGAAAGAAGCAAGGGCGGCAGCGGAGAUGCGUAAUAGGCAGAAGACAUUAUUAAGGAUGUGGUGGCAGCAAAGGGGCCCCUCCAGGCACCAGGAGUUUAUGACUGUGGUGACUAGCAAAGAGAAGGAGCAAGGUGCGUCAGUUCUCAUUCCCAUUGUUCUGGGCUCUUCUGUUAUGAAGCUUUUACUGUCUUUCUCUAGCUGGGGACACGCUCAUCCAGGAAGCCUUCCCUGACUGAUACCGCCACUUGACCCUCUUCCCAGAAGCUGGCUCAGUUCCCC
RNAcentral lists this long non-coding RNA (9917 nucleotides) under Marmota monax (woodchuck). Lineage: Eukaryota; Metazoa; Chordata; Mammalia; Rodentia; Sciuridae. The record is from RNAcentral.